Molecule: long non-coding RNA, 2188 nt
Organism: Equus asinus (donkey)
Lineage: Eukaryota; Metazoa; Chordata; Mammalia; Perissodactyla; Equidae
Source: Ensembl
ACAUCCGUUAAUUUGCAUGAGGCUGUGAGAAAAAAAAUCUUUGAAGAAGUCUGGCUGUCGGGCAGGCCAGUGUAGAAAAUGGCGAGAACACGGUUUCCUGGAGCAUGAAGCUGUGUCUGAGCAUCUUUUGACACCGUCCCAGGAAGAAGAGGCUCAGUCAGCUCUGAGAAGCCCCUCUGAAAAAGCUGGUGUAGGAGGGAGAGAAGUACUAACGGGUACAGGACUGUCCAGAUAACUGCCUCCUUUCGGCUGACCCAGUAAUUUGCAGCUCUGCUUUCUGGUCCCUGACACUUCAGCUAAGAUGUGCCCAGAGACACAAAUGAACAGCCUUGCUCUGAUACAGGUGGCACAAGGAGUGCGAUGGACCUGGUACACUGGUAAAGGAAGCAUUUUGAGACCUUUAGAGAGCUCCAAAUGAUGGAAUCGAGAUGUUUCUGCGGGUUCCUGACUUCCUCAACAGUCACAUGCCCACUGAGUCACAGUUCUAGAAAUAGCCACACCCCGCAAGUUGUCUUUUCAACUUACAUUAAUAUUCUCUCUUGUAUCAGAUGUUUCUAACAAGAAAGAAAUACUUUAUGACCUGAAAAGCUUCAUAGGAUCUGCCGGUCCCCUCAACCCCUCACUAGCUAAAUGUGUAAUCCCAGAUAUCAGAUGGACACUGUGUGACAGAGCACAUAAAACUGUACCUCCAGAAAACUAAAACAAACUACAUAUUAUGGACUUUCAGAAUUGAUUUGAAAAUCAACACCAAAAUACAACGCCCUUCAAAGGGCCAAGGGUACAUGCUAACCUAUGUAGUAGAAUGAAUUUGUAACUAAGAUAUCCAGCAAAGGACUAGCAUCUAAGACGGAGUUCAUCUGGCUUUCUUCUUCGUGGCUGUAUCUGAGGAAGACAAGAUUUGGCAGGUGCAUAUAUUGGAACUGAUAGAACAAGUCAUAAUCUAGCAGGGUUCCAUUCUAUUGACCAUGGAGAUGUGCAUUUCAUGAAUCUUUGCUACUAAAAGGAUUUCCACUCAUCCAAUUUAUCCAACAACUUUUAACAUCACACCAUUUUUCUGGGCUUCUUAAGGAGGUUAUUAGAGGACAGAGUAAAUAAAGAUAGGUUUGCACAAGGCUUUUUACAUCAAAGGCCAUCAAAUAAUGCUUUUAUAAAAUCCGCUUUGCGUCUGGACAAUCAACGCACGUUGGCUGGGAUGAGUUCUCUAUCUGCUUGUCAUGCACACAUAUAAGCCACUGCAAGCCAACCUUGGAAAGUGUUCCAGGAUGUAGGGUUCUUUAGAACUAGACAGACACAUCCAAAUCUUAUUCUGCAUUUAGCUCUUUGACCUUAGGCAAAUCACUUAACUAUUUUUAACCUUAUUUCUUAAUUUUUGGAAUGGAGAUAAUAGCAUUGACCUCAUGGGGUUCUUGUGAGGAUUAUGUAUAAAGUGUUUAGCACAAUGGCUGAAACACUCAAUAAGUAGAUGAUGGAUGGAUAGCUAACUGGAUGGAUGCAUGGAUGGAUGGAUGGAUGGAUACAGAGAGAGAGAGAGAGAUAUUCAAAUUUUUGGAGGAAAAGGUAAGCUUAUUUCUUAGAAACUCUUCCUGCGUCAAAUCAUCCAAUUACCCAAAUGAUAAGAUAAAUAGUUCUCAGUGUUUCACACACUGAAGUAUUAUUAAUCUUCAGCUCCAACCUGAUAAUCUCCAUUUCUUUACGGGAAUUGAACUCAUAAUUUUCUCUCAUUAUUCUUGAUUAUCUCCUCCCCCAUCCACAACUCAAUUCUGCAUGGGGAAAUAACACUCAGAGGAGACAACAGGAGGACCUAAAUUUUAUUCCUUUCUUUGCUAUCCAAUUUCACCAUGUCAUAGUUAUCCAACCUCAUUUAGUCGCUGUCUAUGAAAAAGAUAGUAUUUUUCUAGUUCAUUGGGACAACAAUAGAGAGAAAUUUGACCAUUUUUGCACAGAGCUAUUGACUCCUUAAAAUAAAAGAAUAUAUUCGUUUUGACAUAUUGUCAUCAACUACCGUUUGUAUCUUCCACUACUUGCACAAGUCUAUCCUCCCCCAGUCUUCUCCCAUCCCCUCCAAACCUCCUUCAUCUUUAUCCUUAAAUCAAACUCUACCUGCCUUUCUUUCAUUGGCAUCAGUGAAGAAGGAGUCACCACUUCUGGGAUCUGAUGCUAAAUGACUGAGGCCAAUUUCAUAGGGCAG